UGAGGUCUAAGCAUGUGGCAAGCAUUAAAAGCAAUGGAGAGGCAUCUUCAAGAUAAAUAGGAGCCUAGGAGCUGAUCUCCAUGCAGAAGAUGAUGAGUUGAGAUCCUGCGCAGAAAACACAGUUAAGAGAAGAGCCUAAGGAUUUCAGAGAAGGAAACGAAGGGACUUUCUCAUCCCCGGUUCACCCGAAUGUGCACCAUACAGUCUGGUGAAGGUGACAAGAAAGGAGGAAAGAAGUAUCAGACCAGCUGCCCGGAGUCCGACAUUAGCCGGAGCGAACCUAAUUACUGUUAGGCAAGAGAGCCUAAUGCGACGUGCUGCAUACACGGCCUUCCAUUCCAUUCUUGUUCGCUUCUGGUUUCAGAGGAGCCUGGAAUUUCAUUGGAGGCGAAGGAUUAUGUUCCCUCUGCUCGAUACUCUAGGAUGAAAUACGAUUGCUGAUUUUUAUUGCCAAACAAUCCUUGGAGUUUGUGGCAGUUUGGAGACAGCAGCUGGCCCAGGCAGGCCUGUUAACUCUGGCAUGUUAAGGACCCUUCAGAAGAUUUCAAAUCCAGCCUCAGCACCCAGCAUUUUCCCCAGGGAACCUCCAGUUGAAAAGGGCCAGCCUGGAAGAGAGUGCGCCAAUGAUCAAAGUGGCCGCAUAUGAUGGUCCCAGACUGAUGCCUGUCUUCCCACUGAAGGAGACUUUCUUCCCUGGAUGAGAUCCAGCCUCCGCUCUGAAGGUGCUGACACUUCAGAUCUUAGGCUGAAGAGUUUAGAAAAAAAAAAAAAAGAAGAAGAAGAAGAAGAAUGACAUACUUUCUACCACGUUAUUCAGUCAGCAUGAGGAACUAGAGAGCACCAAGUCUGUAUAGGGUCUGGAUCCAGAAGGUUGAAUGAAGCUGCAGUGAAUUUGAAGCAUGCCACACCUUUUCUCACCUGAGUCAUCAGAGAUGCAGUUGCCAACUUCCGAAGGCGGAAGAAGUAAAUGGCAGUCGAGUGCCUCUCUGCACACCACGUUGGGGAGGGUGUUGUGUCCAGUAGUGUCUCCACGCCUGACUAGAAUGUCUGAGUAGAUGCUUCUGUAUGCAUUAGUUCAGUUCAUCUUUACAUCUACCUUGCCAGGUAGGUUUUUCUAAGCCCAUUUUAUGGACAAGAAACUGAGGCUUCAAGAGUUUCAAACUGACACCAGAAAAUGAUGGCCCAUGGACCAAAACUGGCUCAUUCUUGCUUUUGUAAAACUGCUUUAUUGGAACUCAGUGACACCCGUGUACAAUAUAGUGAUUCAACACUUCCAGACAUCACCCGGUGCUCAUCACGACAAGUGUACGUCUUAAUCUCUGAGUAAUUUUCUAACAAGACAGUACUGCCUGAGGGGAGUCGGUCAUCCUGUCUCCUACUUCCUGGUAACCCUCCAAGCCAGCAGAGCCUUUUCAGUGCUGGUUGCUGGUUUCCACUGGAGAGGCCAUUCUCCUUUCCUGGAGAAAACUGAAGACGUUAUUGAGGAGGAAAAUGACUCCGUGAGCUCUACCUGGUCAACUCCAACUUGAGCCUGAAAGUUACACAAUUUCCAAGUGUCAGGCCAGGACUCUCUGCCAAAGACAAGUUCGUUUCCCUUCCUCUCCCCUCCACUAAGAUUCUCCUGGGAUUUUUUCAUACACACUCGUCUGCAUUGCCUUCUCUCUCCUCCAUACCAAGGGUAUUGAGUAAAUUAGUCAUUUGGUUUAAAAAAAAUAAGUCAACCUCAACCAUUAUUAGAUGGCACUUGGGCUUAAUCAAAAGAAAUGUUUGAGAGAAUUUUUCGGUUUUUAUCUGCUUAUUAGUGAGCACUGAGUUUCUGUGCAGAUGGAAUUAAAAUGAACCAACAGUGUUCUCUACACAGUCUUGUGAAUCUAAGUACAACAAUUUUCCUGUUUAGUCUUCGGCUGAGUGCUGGGGCUCAGUGAUGGCAAUCGAGGGUUUUCCACUUGCUCCUCUGGUCCGGUUCAGCUGAGACCCAGACCACUCAGGGACAACGGGGGCCUGCCAAGCUCAUCUGCCCCCUCCACCGCUGGCAGUGGAGUGCGCUGACGUGAGGCUGUACCGGACAUGGAGUUCAGGAAGAUAGCACUGAUUCCUAAUGAGUUUUUAGCCUCUCCUUUCAAAUUUUCUGUUUUGCUAAUGCUCUACAAUGUAUCUAAUUUAUUAGUUCAGUUGUAGAUGUACCGGAAGUGUGUGCUCAAAAAAUCUUCACUGAUUUGGGAUAAGACUCACAAAACUGUUCAGAAACCACUGCCCCAGAGCAGGAGAGGCAUUUAGCCCCAACACUGGCUUGUAUCUGAGUCUGUAGGACCCCUGGUAUGACCUGUUUUCUUUAUAACCUCUGCGACAGUAACAGUUCUUUGGGGGAAGUCGGAUAAUGACACUAACACUUCAUUUUUUUCUUCCUUCUGAUCGUGUGUUACGUUUUUACCCACAAAAAUGAAUUAAUGUGUUUGUCCCAAACACCCCAUUCUUCAUGGCCUCGCUCUGGCAGUCCCGGGACAAAGGCGACGUAUCUAAAUGGGAGGGAGAGGUGAUGACAAUCAGGUAGGAGCUCGGCUUCAUCUGGCCUUUUUCACAGAGCAAGCAGCACCCCUAGCACAGAAUCACAGACGCUCGGAGCUGGAGGAAAACCAGAUAACACCGAAAAAUUCACUCCAGCAAUUAUUUCUGAUUAAGCCUAUUUGGCAUCUAAUAAUGAUGGAGAUGAAUGCAUUUAAAGCAAAUGACUAAUUUUUAAUGCUCACUUUUCCAGUGAGUGACCGUUGGGACUCCUCGGGUGACCCUCAGUCACCUUGGAUUCACCUUAAUUUCCUAAACAGGCAUGCAGAUUCCGUUCAUUAUGCAGGAAGCUCUUUUUGCCGCGGUGAGCAUUGUCUCACCUCCUCUUGACUUCUGUUAAUCUGACAGCCACACAGUCCCGUCUUGGGGAAUACUGCAAAGCAUCUCCAAUUCAAUAGCAUUUCUGUGGUCGAGGGGUUUUAUGUAAUUACAGAAGUUCUGUAGUUGAUUUGAAUGUUAUAUCCCUGUUGUGGAAUUAUGUUUGGACUUCAUCCUAAAGGACCAGGAAGGGCUUGUGUUUGUUUUGUUUGAACAUUUCUUAUCACAGAACUAUGCUGGAGACAAACCCCAAUGACACAAACACUCAAAAGCCACCUUCAGAUGUAAUAUUGAUUUAUAAAACAACAGUGCACAGUUGCCAGGCUCCACUCUUGAAUGCAGAGGGUCUUCAAUUCCCAACAAAUGACUGGCAUUUCUACCAAUUUACAAAUUAGAGUUUCCUCUGACUAUCUCACAGUUCUUAAUAUUCCAGUCACCUUCCUCUUCAGCCUUCCCUCUUGAAAUAUGUGCGUGGGGAGGAGGGGGCAGCGAGAAAGUAGAGCAUUUGUAAAAUUGGAGUUAAAAAAAUCUAGAUCAACUUUUAUCCUUAGGCAAAUUAUGCACAGAGUUAAAUUAAACCACUAUAUGUACUUGUAGAUUGAAGAAUCAGAGGUGGAGGAGGGGUCAGAGACACUGAGAUCAAAGUUUCUGUUCUUUGAACAAAAUCCCUUUGAAAAGCCCCCAUGCCACCUAUUCUGCUUGUUAAUGUUUUGACUGGGAGUGUCUAGCGGUGUCAGCAGCAGCGGCAUAUUUUUAAUACCAUAGUCUUAAAAUUUUCUGUAUGCAACUAGCUCUACUUAGCAAAGCACCAGAUCCUUUGCCAGCUCUGUUAUAGGUCUCUUAGGGGAAUAUUUUUGUUAAUUGCAAAUAUUUGAUUGACAAACAUAGGAUGCAAUUAGCAGUCAGGCACAGUAGGAAUGUGCAGUGAACUGGAUCCCUGAACCAACGGAUCUCAACUCUCUCAGCUUGAUCUAAAAUCGACUAGAGCAUUUCAACCAUAUGUUUGCCUCAAACUUCCUCUUUCCCGUGAACGCUGUUAUUUCCCCAAACUCGCUUCUUUUCACAUUGGUUCACCAAGGGAGCUAAUUCCUCUCUGAUCAAGCCAAAUAAAGAAAGAAAA
Hyaena hyaena (striped hyena) is the source of this 4000-nucleotide long non-coding RNA. RefSeq lists it as uncharacterized. NCBI's taxonomy places the organism in Eukaryota, Metazoa, Chordata, Mammalia, Carnivora, Hyaenidae. The transcript has 11 exons. The record is from RefSeq and is a predicted model, not a curated record.